CCUACGGGAGGCAGCAGUGGGGAAUAUUGCACAAUGGGCGCAAGCCUGAUGCAGCGACGCCGCGUGAGGGAUGACGGCCUUCGGGUUGUAAACCUCUUUCAGUAUGGAACAAGGAUCCUUCUUUUGGGGGGUUUGAGGGUACGUGCAGAAGAAGCGCCGGCUAACUACGUGCCAGCAGCCGCGGUAAUACGUAGGGCGCGAGCGUUGUCCGGAUUUAUUGGGCGUAAAGAGCUCGUAGGCGGUUUGUCGCGUCUGCCGUGAAAUUUCCUGGCUUAACUGGGAGCGUGCGGUGGGUACGGGCAGACUGGAGUGCGGUAGGGGAGACUGGAAUUCCUGGUGUAGCGGUGGAAUGCGCAGAUAUCAGGAGGAACACCGGUGGCGAAGGCGGGUCUCUGGGCCGUUACUGACGCUGAGGAGCGAAAGCAUGGGGAGCGAACAGGAUUAGAUACCCUGGUAGUCCAUGCUGUAAACGUUGGGAACUAGGUGUGGGGUCCAUUUCCACGGAUUCUGCGCCGUAGCUAACGCAUUAAGUUCCCCGCCUGGGGAGUACGGCCGCAAGGCUAAAACUCAAAUGAAUUGACGG
Molecule: ribosomal RNA, 583 nt
Filed under: uncultured bacterium
Lineage: Bacteria
Description: bacterial SSU rRNA
Rfam family: Bacterial small subunit ribosomal RNA
Source: RNAcentral